Molecule: long non-coding RNA, 703 nt
Organism: Lactuca sativa (garden lettuce)
Lineage: Eukaryota; Viridiplantae; Streptophyta; Magnoliopsida; Asterales; Asteraceae
Source: RefSeq, a predicted model, not a curated record
CCUCCCGUUCAAAAUUUAUAUUUCUUUUUUCUUUUUUCUUCCAGCCGUCGCUCAACAUCCCUACCCACCGCCGCCGCCGCCGAUAACCAACACUCCCAACUCCCAAACCUCCUUCGAAUCGGUCUCAGCUCACAAGAAAUUUCCGUCGUUGUUCCAUCUGUUCCAUAUCCCAUAACCAUCAAAUUAUCAUCCGAUACGAAAUUUCCAAUCAAAUCCAUCUUUUGUCAAACGGACUUAUUUGCAGAUUGAAUUUGAAUCAUCAAAGCAAAUGGCGUUAACAAACUUGAUAUUGACGGUGGCAGGAGUCAGUGCUGUGAUUUUAUUGAUGAGGAGCGAUGUAAAACAAUCUGCCUCUAUUUUCAAACGCAACGUUCGUCAAAUUCGCCACUGGCUCGAAGAAGAAUCCGCUUCUGCAGCUAAGGAAAUGGAGAAGGCAAAACCCAAGGAAUUACCUAAGAAAGAUACCCCCAAGGGUGAUUAGAGAUGAAUGAUAUCAAAUGAUGGUAUUGGUAUUAAGAAAGUAUGACCCACCUAAUAAAAUUAGAAUGAUUUUCUUGUAUUAAGAAAGUUUUUUUAGCUCAAUUUGUGGAAGUGAAGCAUAUCAAUCAAUCAUUUUUAUAUUAUUUGUCUUCAUAAACACAUUUACAUAUUUUUGCAUGUGUUUGUGGCUAUAUCUAUAAAAGAGUGUCCUUUUGCUUGUUAA